Molecule: small RNA, 418 nt
Filed under: Vigna angularis var. angularis
Lineage: Eukaryota; Viridiplantae; Streptophyta; Magnoliopsida; Fabales; Fabaceae
Description: Non-protein coding transcript
Source: RNAcentral
UGAGAUUGAGCCGAGAUUAAAAUAUCGCUAAUCCUAGGCCCAUGCUCAAAAACUAUAAAUAUAAGUCAAAGGUACACCCCUGGACGGACUAGCAAACAAGAGGUGUAGAGAGCGGGACCGGACGACGAGAAAUGAUAAAUUGUGAAGGUAUUCAGUGACUCAACCUCAUAACCGAAACACCUAACUAAAUGUUUCACAUAAGGAAAAUUGAAUAUGAAUUUUCAUUUUCAUUUACGUAUAGGUUUAGUUUCUUUUCCAUUUUUGGUGGUAGAGGAAUUUGAGUGAAUGUACUGAAUGUAGGCAAUCUGGGAGUGGUGUUGUUGCAGCCAAACUUUGAUUAGGUUUGAGUUUGAGGAAAUUGAUUUGGGGAUUUUUGAUGCAGUCAGUUGGAGUGGGCUAAUAAUUAGUUACAUAACGC